RNAcentral lists this ribosomal RNA (800 nucleotides) under Acinetobacter indicus. RNAcentral describes it as "bacterial SSU rRNA". It matches the Rfam family "Bacterial small subunit ribosomal RNA", at positions 207 to 999 of the family's 1533-position model. Lineage: Bacteria; Pseudomonadati; Pseudomonadota; Gammaproteobacteria; Moraxellales; Moraxellaceae. The record is from RNAcentral.
UUCGGACCUUGCGCUAAUAGAUGAGCCUAAGUCGGAUUAGCUAGUUGGUGGGGUAAAGGCCUACCAAGGCGACGAUCUGUAGCGGGUCUGAAAGGAUGAUCCGCCCCACUGGGACUGAGACACGGCCCAAACUCCUACGGGAGGCAGCAGUGGGGAAUAUUGGACAAUGGGGGGAACCCUGAUCCAGCCAUGCCGCGUGUGUGAAGAAGGCCUUUUGGUUGUAAAGCACUUUAAACGAGGAGGAGGCGCUCUAGGCUAAUACCCUAGAUGCGUGGACGUUACUCGCAAAAUAAGCACCGGCUAACUCUGUGCCAGCAGCCGCGGUAAUACAGAGGGUGCGAGCGUUAAUCGGAUUUACUGGGCGUAAAGCGCGCGUAGGUGGCUAAUUAAGUCAAAUGUGAAAUCCCCGAGCUUAACUUGGGAAUUGCAUUCGAUACUGGUUAACUAGAGUAUGGGAGAGGAUGGUAGAAUUCCAGGUGUAGCGGUGAAAUGCGUAGAGAUCUGGAGGAAUACCGAUGGCGAAAGCAGCCAUCUGGCCUAAUACUGACACUGAGGUGCGAAAGCAUGGGGAGCAAACAGGAUUAGAUACCCUGGUAGUCCAUGCCGUAAACGAUGUCUACUAGCCGUUGGGGCCUUUGAGGCUUUAGUGGCGCAGCUAACGCGAUAAGUAGACCGCCUGGGGAGUACGGUCGCAAGACUAAAACUCAAAUGAAUUGACGGGGCCCGCACAAGCGGUGGACAUGUGCUUUAAUUCUAUGCAUCGCGAAAACCUUACCUGGCCUUGACUUACGAGACUUUCC